This 161-nucleotide ribosomal RNA is filed under the name Tetrathylacium macrophyllum. Its description in RNAcentral is "ITS1". It matches the Rfam family "5.8S ribosomal RNA". From Rfam's summary of the family: 5.8S ribosomal RNA (5.8S rRNA) is a component of the large subunit of the eukaryotic ribosome. It is transcribed by RNA polymerase I as part of the 45S precursor that also contains 18S and 28S rRNA. The record is from RNAcentral. Lineage: Eukaryota; Viridiplantae; Streptophyta; Magnoliopsida; Malpighiales; Salicaceae.
ACGACUCUCGGCAACGGAUAUCUCGGCUCUCGCAUCGAUGAAGAACGUAGCGAAAUGCGAUACUUGGUGUGAAUUGCAGAAUCCCGUGAACCAUCGAGUCUUUGAACGCAAGUUGCGCCCGAGGCCAUCCGGCCAAGGGCACGUCUGCCUGGGUGUCACGC